This 441-nucleotide ribosomal RNA is filed under the name uncultured bacterium. RNAcentral's name for it is "partial 16S ribosomal RNA". It matches the Rfam family "Bacterial small subunit ribosomal RNA", at positions 338 to 795 of the family's 1533-position model. The record is from RNAcentral.
CCUACGGGAGUCUGCAGUGGGGAAUAUUGCACAAUGGGGGAAACCCUGAUGCAGCGACGCCGCGUGAGUGAAGAAGUAUUUCGGUAUGUAAAGCUCUAUCAGCAGGGAAGAAGAAAGACGGUACCUGACUACGAAGCCCCGGCUCACUACGUGCCAGCAGCCGCGGUAAUACGUAGGGGGCAAGCGUUAUCCGGAUUUACUGGGUGUAAAGGGAGCGUAGACGGCUGUGCAAGUCUGGAGUGAAAGGCCGGGGCCCAACCCCGGGACUGCUCUGGAAACUGCCUGGCUGGAGUACAGGAGAGGUAAGUGGAAUUCCUAGUGUAGCGGUGAAAUGCGUAGAUAUUAGGAGGAACACCAGUGGCGAAGGCGGCUUACUGGACUGUAACUGACGUUGAGGCUCGAAAGCGUGGGGAGCAAACAGGAUUAGAUACCCGUGUAGUC